This 393-nucleotide ribosomal RNA is filed under the name uncultured bacterium. RNAcentral's name for it is "partial 16S ribosomal RNA". It matches the Rfam family "Bacterial small subunit ribosomal RNA", at positions 523 to 918 of the family's 1533-position model. The record is from RNAcentral.
AUACGGAGGAUGCAAGCGUUAUCCGGAUUUAUUGGGUUUAAAGGGUGCGUAGGCGGAUGAUUAAGCGUGAGGUGAAAUGCCACUGCUCAACAGUGGAACUGCCUCGCGAACUGGUUGUCUUGAAUGCUCCUGCCGUGGGAGGAAUGUGUGGUGUAGCGGUGAAAUGCAUAGAGAUCACACAGAACACCGAUUGCGAAGGCAUCUCACGAAGGGGUGAUUGACGCUGAGGCACGAAAGCGUGGGGAUCAAACAGGAUUAGAUACCCUGGUAGUCCACGCAGUAAACGAUGGGCGCUCGUCGUCGGCGACAGACAGUCGGCGGCCAAGCGAAAGCGAUAAGCGCCCCACCUGGGGAGUACGGUCGCAAGGCUGAAACUCAAAUGAAUUGACGGGG